GACAGACAAUCGCGGCUGCAUGAGCCGAAAGGCUGCAGGCGAGGAAAGUCCGGGAUUCACAGGGCAGGAUGCCGGAUAACGUCCGGUGGAGGUGACUCCAAGGCCAGUGCAACAGAAAUAAACCGCCGGAAGGCGUUCCUGACAUUUGUCAGGUCUCGUGUUCCGGUAAGGGUGGAAAGGCAGUGUAAGAGACUACCGCCUUUCUGGUAACAGAAAGGGCACAUGUAAACCCCAUCCGAAGCAAGACCGAAUAUAAGCGAUGUGGCGGCCCGUCACGCUUUAGGUAGGUCGCUUGAGCCUGGUGGCGACAUCAGGCCUAGAUAGAUGAUUGUCCAACGACAUAACCCGGCUUAUCGUCUUGCUUA
RNAcentral lists this RNase P RNA (365 nucleotides) under uncultured Muricomes sp. RNAcentral's name for it is "Bacterial RNase P class A". It matches the Rfam family "Bacterial RNase P class A". From Rfam's summary of the family: Ribonuclease P (RNase P) is a ubiquitous endoribonuclease, found in archaea, bacteria and eukarya as well as chloroplasts and mitochondria. Its best characterised activity is the generation of mature 5'-ends of tRNAs by cleaving the 5'-leader elements of precursor-tRNAs. The record is from RNAcentral. Lineage: Bacteria; Bacillati; Bacillota; Clostridia; Lachnospirales; Lachnospiraceae.